UGGGAGCUACCAUGCAGUCGAGCGGAGAGUGGAGCUUGCUCCAUGAUUCAGCGGCGGACGGGUGAGUAAUGCCUAGGAAUCUGCCUGGUAGUGGGGGACAACGUUUCGAAAGGAACGCUAAUACCGCAUACGUCCUACGGGAGAAAGCAGGGGACCUUCGGGCCUUGCGCUAUCAGAUGAGCCUAGGUCGGAUUAGCUAGUUGGUGGGGUAAAGGCCUACCAAGGCGACGAUCCGUAACUGGUCUGAGAGGAUGAUCAGUCACACUGGAACUGAGACACGGUCCAGACUCCUACGGGAGGCAGCAGUGGGGAAUAUUGGACAAUGGGCGAAAGCCUGAUCCAGCCAUGCCGCGUGUGUGAAGAAGGUCUUCGGAUUGUAAAGCACUUUAAGUUGGGAGGAAGGGCAGUAAGUUAAUACCUUGCUGUUUUGACGUUACCAACAGAAUAAGCACCGGCUAACUUCGUGCCAGCAGCCGCGGUAAUACGAAGGGUGCAAGCGUUAAUCGGAAUUACUGGGCGUAAAGCGCGCGUAGGUGGUUUGGUAAGAUGGAUGUGAAAUCCCCGGGCUCAACCUGGGAACUGCAUCCAUAACUGCCUGACUAGAGUACGGUAGAGGGUGGUGGAAUUUCCUGUGUAGCGGUGAAAUGCGUAGAUAUAGGAAGGAACACCAGUGGCGAAGGCGACCACCUGGACUGAUACUGACACUGAGGUGCGAAAGCGUGGGGAGCAAACAGGAUUAGAUACCCCUGGUAGUCCACGCCGUAAACGAUGUCGACUAGCCGUUGGGGAUCCUUGAGAUCUUAGUGGCGCAGCUAACGCGAUAGUCGACCGCCUGGGAGUACGCGCAGAUAAACUCAAUGAUGACGGGGCCCGCACAGCGGUGGAGCAUGUGAUUAUUCGAGCACGCGAGACUAACUAGCUGACAUGUCGACUUGCUGGAUGCAAGGUGCUUCAGAAUCGGAACACAGGCUGCUGCGUUCGUCCACUCUGUCCUGGAAGUGGUUAAUCGUAAAGGCAACUUGCUUUGUACGACCUGUGGCCUUAAGAAGCCGUCAAC
This 1057-nucleotide ribosomal RNA is filed under the name Pseudomonas nitroreducens. RNAcentral describes it as "bacterial SSU rRNA". It matches the Rfam family "Bacterial small subunit ribosomal RNA", at positions 43 to 1140 of the family's 1533-position model. Lineage: Bacteria; Pseudomonadati; Pseudomonadota; Gammaproteobacteria; Pseudomonadales; Pseudomonadaceae. The record is from RNAcentral.